GUACGGGAGGCAGCAGUGGGGAAUUUUCCGCAAUGGGCGAAAGCCUGACGGAGCAAGACCGCGUGAGGGACGAAGGCUCUUGGGUUGUAAACCUCUUUUCUCAAGGAAGAAGCUCUGACGGUACUUGAGGAAUCAGCAUCGGCUAACUCCGUGCCAGCAGCCGCGGUAAGACGGAGGAUGCAAGCGUUAUCCGGAAUUAUUGGGCGUAAAGCGUCCGCAGGUGGCUUAUCAAGUCUGCUGUCAAAGACCGGGGCUUAACUUCGGAAAGGCAGUGGAAACUGGAAGGCUAGAGAGAGGUAGGGGUAAGGGGAAUUCCCGGUGUAGCGGUGAAAUGCGUAGAGAUCGGGAAGAACACCCGUGGCGAAAGCGCCUUACUGGACCUUUUCUGACACUCAGGGACGAAAGCUAGGGGAGCGAAAGGGAUUAGAUACCCCCGUAC
RNAcentral lists this ribosomal RNA (439 nucleotides) under uncultured bacterium. RNAcentral's name for it is "bacterial SSU rRNA". It matches the Rfam family "Bacterial small subunit ribosomal RNA", at positions 339 to 793 of the family's 1533-position model. The record is from RNAcentral.